AACAGGAUUAGAUACCCUGGUAGUCCAUGCCGUAAACGAUGUCUACUAGCCGUUGGGGCCUUUGAGGCUUUAGUGGCGCAGCUAACGCGAUAAGUAGACCGCCUGGGGAGUACGGUCGCAAGACUAAAACUCAAAUGAAUUGACGGGGGCCCGCACAAGCGGUGGAGCAUGUGGUUUAAUUCGAUGCAACGCGAAGAACCUUACCUGGCCUUGACAUACUAAGAACUUUCCAGAGAUGGAUUGGUGCCUUCGGGAACUUAGAUACAGGUGCUGCAUGGCUGUCGUCAGCUCGUGUCGUGAGAUGUUGGGUUAAGUCCCGCAACGAGCGCAACCCUUUUCCUUAUUUGCCAUCGGGUAAUGCCGGGAACUUUAAGGAUACUGCCAGUGACAAACUGGAGGAAGGCGGGGACGACGUCAAGUCAUCAUGGCCCUUACGGCCAGGGCUACACACGUGCUACAAUGGUCGGUACAAAGGGUUGCUACCUCGCGAGAGGAUGCUAAUCUCAAAAAGCCGAUCGUAGUCCGGAUCGCAGUCUGCAACUCGACUGCGUGAAGUCGGAAUCGCUAGUAAUCGCGGAUCAGAAUGCCGCGGUGAAUACGUUCCCGGGCCUUGUACACACCGCCCGUCACACCAUGGGAGUUUGUUGCACCAGAAGUAGGUAGUCUAACCGCAAGGAGGACGCGUACCACGGUGUGGCCGAUGACUGGGGUGAAGUCGUAACAAGGUAACC
This 731-nucleotide ribosomal RNA is filed under the name uncultured bacterium. RNAcentral describes it as "bacterial SSU rRNA". It matches the Rfam family "Bacterial small subunit ribosomal RNA", at positions 771 to 1501 of the family's 1533-position model. The record is from RNAcentral.